Molecule: ribosomal RNA, 925 nt
Filed under: uncultured bacterium
Lineage: Bacteria
Description: bacterial SSU rRNA
Rfam family: Bacterial small subunit ribosomal RNA
Source: RNAcentral
ACGCUGGCGGCGUGCCUAAUACAUGCAAGUAGAACGCUGAAGAGAGGAGCUUGCUCUUCUUGGAUGAGUUGCGAACGGGUGAGUAACGCGUAGGUAACCUGCCUUGUAGCGGGGGAUAACUAUUGGAAACGAUAGCUAAUACCGCAUAACAAUGGAUGACACAUGUCAUUUAUUUGAAAGGGGCAAUUGCUCCACUACAAGAUGGACCUGCGUUGUAUUAGCUAGUAGGUGAGGUAACGGCUCACCUAGGCGACGAUACAUAGCCGACCUGAGAGGGUGAUCGGCCACACUGGGACUGAGACACGGCCCAGACUCCUACGGGAGGCAGCAGUAGGGAAUCUUCGGCAAUGGGGGCAACCCUGACCGAGCAACGCCGCGUGAGUGAAGAAGGUUUUCGGAUCGUAAAGCUCUGUUGUAAGUCAAGAACGAGUGUGAGAGUGGAAAGUUCACACUGUGACGGUAGCUUACCAGAAAGGGACGGCUAACUACGUGCCAGCAGCCGCGGUAAUACGUAGGUCCCGAGCGUUGUCCGGAUUUAUUGGGCGUAAAGCGAGCGCAGGCGGUUUGAUAAGUCUGAAGUUAAAGGCUGUGGCUCAACCAUAGUUCGCUUUGGAAACUGUCAAACUUGAGUGCAGAAGGGGAGAGUGGAAUUCCAUGUGUAGCGGUGAAAUGCGUAGAUAUAUGGAGGAACACCGGUGGCGAAAGCGGCUCUCUGGUCUGUAACUGACGCUGAGGCUCGAAAGCGUGGGGAGCGAACAGGAUUAGAUACCCUGGUAGUCCACGCCGUAAACGAUGAGUGCUAGGUGUUGGAUCCUUUCCGGGAUUCAGUGCCGCAGCUAACGCAUUAAGCACUCCGCCUGGGGAGUACGACCGCAAGGUUGAAACUCAAAGGAAUUGACGGGGGCCCGCACAAGCGGUGGAGCAU